This 66-nucleotide small nucleolar RNA is filed under the name Pristionchus pacificus. RNAcentral describes it as "Nematode snoRNA ceN114". It matches the Rfam family "Nematode snoRNA ceN114". Lineage: Eukaryota; Metazoa; Nematoda; Chromadorea; Rhabditida; Neodiplogasteridae. The record is from Rfam by way of RNAcentral.
AAGCAAUGAUGAACCGAACUCUCUCACUGAUCAAGUUGAGGACAAUAUCUACAUUAUCAGAGCUUU